RNAcentral lists this ribosomal RNA (467 nucleotides) under uncultured bacterium. Its description in RNAcentral is "partial 16S ribosomal RNA". It matches the Rfam family "Bacterial small subunit ribosomal RNA", at positions 28 to 507 of the family's 1533-position model. The record is from RNAcentral.
GAUGAACGCUGGCGGCGUGCCUAACACAUGCAAGUCGAACGCUUAAAGCACCUUCGGGUGCGUAUAAAGUGGCGAACGGACGAGUAAGAAGUACGCAACUAGCCUCUUUUAUAGGGAUAGAUAAGGGAAAGAGAGGGUAAUAACGAAUACUUAGAGAAUGCCGCAUGGAGGAGUUGUGUAGGAUGCGGUGGAGUGGGAUGGGAUCGCGGCAUGUCAGCUUGUUGGUGGGGUAAUGGCCUACCAAGGCAAUGAUGGGUAGCUGGGCUGAGAGGAUGACCGGCCAGACUGGGACUGAGACACGGCCCAGACUCCUACGGGAGGCAGCAGUGGGGAAUCUUGCACAAUGGGCGGAAGCCUGAUGCAGCGACGCCGCGUGCGGGAUGAAGGCCUUCGGGUUGUAAACCUCUUUCAGCAGGGACGAAGCGAGAGUGACGGUACGUGCAGAAGAAGCCCCGGCUAACUACGUG